AAUUAUCAAACAUGACUAAUAUCAAAUGCCCUUGCGUGGAAAUCACAGUUGUCUAGUGAUAAGUGGAAAUGAAUAAACUAUACAAUCAAAUAACAGUUUUUAUUUAUUUUUAUUCAUUUAAACAAUUGAGCUUGAAUUGAGGGGAGACUGAAUACCUCAACUAAUUUUUGAGAAAUGUAAACGUACCUUUACUAUGUCUAUUUGUUUGAAGUGGGACGCAGAGAAGGACUAUACCUAUAAAAGUAUUCAGUGUAAUUCUGA
This is a non-coding RNA of Cinara cedri, 261 nucleotides long. The record is from the annotation of a GenBank genome assembly. NCBI's taxonomy places the organism in Eukaryota, Metazoa, Arthropoda, Insecta, Hemiptera, Aphididae.